GAGGCUUUUACGUACUCUGGCUGGACGUUCUUAAAACCUGCCUGAUCAAAACCAUCAUAGAGCUCCAACAUCAUCAACAUCAUGGAGCGCAUACUUUGAACCGGAUACAUCCACAGUUGUGUCCGCUGCUACUUCUGAUGAGAAGAACAUCUGUUCAGUUCAGUCUGAGAGUCCUCAGAUUCAGACACAAGUCUUCCUGCUGAUCCCUCCCAGCAAGACCCGUCAGAGGAGAUACAGAAGAAACUGGUUCCUGUCCAGACUGCACGUCUUAUUGCCCGGGCUAAAUACAGGCUUCUACAUCACAGGCUAGAUUUACACCAGAGCUCUCAUCAUAACAUCUGCCUAGUUCAAGUUAAAAUAGUCUAAUGUACAUAUGUUUUAUCUCUUGGUGUUAUAUUUACAGAAAAGUCAUACAGACGGAAGUGAAGAUAUGAGGGCAGUGCCAACAUGGACAUCUACACCACUGUGAGUUAAUCAAUUUCUUGUUUUAUUCCUUAAACACUUGUAGUAUUUGGUUUCACUUAACUGUAAUUGUCCUUCAGUGUUUGCUUAAAAAGUUCAACAAUAUUUUUUGUGUAUAUACAGACAUUCAUCUGUUCGUCCUGACCCCGAGGAUUCUUCUCUGUUCGAGGG
Molecule: long non-coding RNA, 633 nt
Organism: Triplophysa dalaica
Lineage: Eukaryota; Metazoa; Chordata; Actinopteri; Cypriniformes; Nemacheilidae
Exons: 3
Source: RefSeq, a predicted model, not a curated record